Triticum aestivum (bread wheat) is the source of this 2049-nucleotide long non-coding RNA. RefSeq lists it as uncharacterized. The transcript has 4 exons. The record is from RefSeq and is a predicted model, not a curated record. Lineage: Eukaryota; Viridiplantae; Streptophyta; Magnoliopsida; Poales; Poaceae.
UCGUGCCACAUCAUCUCGGACCCUGGCCUUCCUCCCUGCAGGGCACCAUCCGCCCAGGAGAAGCAGCUCCGUCCGCCACGCCGAGGAACAGUAGCGCCGUCAACCGCCACCAAGGAUCCACUGCUGAUUUUUCUCCAUGUGCGACCUCUGCUUCGGCUGAUCUCCUUUCCUCUGCCCCGCCUACAGAAUACAAGAGGUAAGCUUCUGGUGGGUGAGUGGUUCCUUGUCGCCCCUUCUCUGCCCACCUCCAGAUCUGGUCGUUAUAGGUAAGCUGGGUUAGUGGUUUUUCCAGUACGUGUAGGUAACUAAUCGGAUCCAGCCAUGAAUUGGUUGGCUUCUUCCAGUAGGUAAAUAAAUCUAUGGUUGUUCUAGUGCGUGCUUCAUCUACAAAUUUGCAGCAUGUAACAAUUUCUUAGCCGAGGCAUUACAAAGGAGAGGGAUGCGUGUCAUUCUUCUGUUAGAAUUGUAAUUACGUUCCCCUUUGUGAUUGGCAUAUUUUAUUUUUCAAUUUCUCCUUUUCUUAUUGCGCAGAUGCUAGCUUUCAUAGCCUCUUGUAGCUAAAUCUGAUUAUGUGUGCGCCUAUCAAGUCCCAAAUGUGAUCUGUAUGUCCUAAUUACGUACACAUCUAGUGAUGCAUCUAUUGAAGAGAAGCAUUUGUCAGUAACAUACUAACAAUCAGUCAAUCUUCAUACGUAGGUGGUGAAGGCAAGUAAAGAAUUUAUGCCCGUUCUAUUACAGGAACAUGUGAAUAGGUGAUAGUCCUCCUAAGCUGCUUAAUGCUACAAUUUCUAAUGUCAUUAUAAACAUUGGAUGCAUCAGACUGUCAUAAUACCUAGUUUUUCUAUAAAAAUGGUAAUAAAUAAGCGCAUAAUAUGAUGAUAAUAAAUCUGGGUUAUGGAAGAAAAUUGUAUAUUUGGUUUCUACAUUUGUAUAUGUAUAGCAGCACCCUGAUUAUGCAAAUAGUAUCAUAUCCAGAGUAUUAAUCAUGGCAGCUAGUAGAAAAUGUACGGUUUAGUUUGUAGCCACAUACAUGUGAAUAUUAUUCCAGCAAGAAUGCGAGAUGCUAGCAUAUAUCUAUCUAUCCCUGGUACUUUGCGGAUAGGCCAGCGGCGAGCCUUGUUUUUUCUUUUUAGUUUUUCCCUUGAUGUAUUCUCCUUGUUGAACGAACAGUUUUUGGCAUCCUGGCAUGCCACCAUUGUGCUGGUUGGAUCUUGGUUACCAAUUAAUAUUCAGGGGAUGUCUCUCUUUUAAUUUAUUGAUUUCCUUGUUGCGAGGAGAGGGCUGCUGAUGCCGAUGAUUUAUAGUUUGGAUGAUGAUGAUGGUGACUAGCCACUGAUGCUCGAGGAUGAAGCAGGAUGAACCGAGGUCCUCGAAGCCUAUCCCUGAUGCUGAUGGGUGGACCAUUGUGCCGCCUAGGUGUGAUCAGUCUGGGCAAUAGUAAAUUAAGCAUAUGAGAAGCAAAACUUGGUGCUAUAUGGUCUGAAGGUAGAGUUGGAACCCCUCCGGUUCAGCACCGGGCAUGGUCGGUUGGAAUUGGAUAAGGACCACAAACCCACCAAGUCGCCCUUUUGAUCAACUACAACAAUAAUAACAACAACAACAAACAAUGUGUAGGCACCCGACUCCAUGGAUGAGGAGGACAACUAAGACCCCAAGCCCAAGACGACGACCCUGACCUCAACUCCCCAAACAAGGUUGUGGAUCAGCGCCUCUUGACUGUGAGGGACAAAUGGUAGACAGUAGCAAGUCCACAAGUUGACUGAAGAUGUUCUCGUGACUGUUUUGUUGAGAACUGGGUUGACACAUUUUGUUCAUAUGGAAGUUGAUUCGGCUUGGCGAUUGAAGAGUUGGUCUUCCGUAUUAUUCUGUAGCAAUCCAGUGAUCAUGCAAUUGGUCUCUUAGGAACUUUGGCCAUUUUUUUGUAACAUGCCUCUCUUGUAUAUCUGAUUUGUGGAUCCUUAAAGGUUGUAGCUACUUGAGUGAAGUAAAACAAUGAAUGUUCUAUAUAUGUUGAAUGAAUGCAUUUGAUCAAUAGUAUCUUUUGAUGAA